UCUGGUGUUAUUAAGUGCUUCAGCAGACACAAAUGUAGCAUAUUUUUACUGAUAGCAAUGCACUAUGAGUAAUUAAGCUGGUGUGACCAUCAUUUAUUGAAAAUAUGCUGCAACCUAUGCAUCUGCUUACCAGUAUUGUCCUUGGCAACUUCAACCAAACUUUUAUUUUAGUUGAUUCCACCUUCUAUGUUUUUAGAAAUUCAUUGUUUUUGUAUGCUUAAUUGAGCAGAGCUCGUUCAUAGUGAUCUUCUGCCAAUGACACAAAUGUAGGAAUGAGAUACACAUGCAAUGUAAGAAACAGAGAAAGGAAGCUGAAAGUUGAAAGCAUUAUAUGUUUUUGUGACUAUACACAUUAGUAUUGCCUUAAAAAUUGAAUAAGGAAUAUUUUUAUUUGGUAUGUACCACAAAAUGUGUUCAUCCAGUAGGUGAUGGUUUGGUCAUUCUUCUCCAAGGUGCGGAUAUAUUUGGACUUUUGCAACUAUGCUUGUGCCUGGUUUUACUGAUUACGAGACAUCUCCAGAUGAUUGGUUAUCUGGCCAUAUUUUCCAACUGUAUAAGCUUUGUGAAAUCUUGAGAUCUUCCUCGUUUUAGCUAAUUCAGUGUUCUGUAUAACAGUGAUUUUGCAGAGAUAUUGGAUGUUAACUUAUUCAUAUCCUCAUCCUAAAGAUCAUAUGACAAGUACUUGAUAUAAUUUUGCUUUCAAAAAUGAAAACACCUAGGUGAUUAUCCUAGCUAUCAUAUCUGUACAAGCAAGAUUAUCAUAAUAACUAAGCAAUUUUUUCUUCAUGUUAUUAUACAAUGCCUAAUUUGAUUCAACAAGGAUAAUGAUACUGCAAGGCUUGAAAAUUUUAGACUAUGAUCACUUUGUAUGCCAAGCUGGAAAUUUGACGUGCCUUAAAGCACCUACAGCUGGAGUGGCAAAUCCGGGUGACUCAAACGCCCUGCGGAUGUGUCUACGAGCACUGUCCGGCCAGUCGUCAAAAAUCGCCGUCCACAUCCGUGUUUCUCAUAUCCAAUCCACAUAUGUGUAUCUCAUAUCCACUGACCUGUCAUAUCUUAGGUCUUAUAUAUGCAACCAGUAAAUUAUUUGGGAUGCCUGGCUGUAUGGGUGGCAGCCACCGUCCCUGUUAUUGCCUCCAGGGUUGGUCCGCCCCUCUUCCCAUAUGUCGACGCCGGUCAGUGUGCUCCUGGUUUCUACAGAAGUAGAGGCGACCAGGAGGGCACGUAUGGGUGUGUGCAUGGAAAGGACCACUAUGAUCAUGCUCGAUUUGCUCCGAGCAGGAGGACUAUGCAUCAAUUCCAUCGCCAUCUGUGAGAUCUCCCUCUUCAAGGAUGCGCAACAUCCAAACAUAUGGUUGCAGGACGAGGUGCACACCUGCACCAUGAGAAGUGCAUAUGCCGACUCAUCCCAGAGACCCGAACUUCAAGAACUUUCUCGUCGAGCACCUCAUGCGGAGAGGCUUUGAGAAGUUAGGUUUUCCUCGAGGAGGAUCUUCUAACCAGAAUAAACAUUCUAGCCCAAAGCUCCAUCUCAUAUGGGGACCAACAAUGUACCAUUUUGAUGAUCUCCAUUCCCUGUGAGCAACUUGAUAGAGUCGAGUCCAAGUCCUCCGUUCGGAGCUGAAGCAAGUUGUCGCCUUCGGUCAGGUCGCCCCCUAUUUUUCAUGGUGGAUGAGAUUGGAGGGUGGGGGACAAUACCUACUCUGGAGUCACUAGGUCUAAGUGUGGCAAAGUUAGGUCCAGUUAAAGAAGGAAAUAUGUUUCAUGGAGGAGAGAGUGCAGCUUUGGGAAGAGGUCUUGAGUACUUCUGAAAGAAUGAUCAGUUCAAGGCUAUGAGGUCUGAUUGUGCUUGCAGAUUGGAAUUGUUGAAAACCUUAGCCUUCCUGAUCUAGCUAACAAAGAUGUAUGUUUCAGACAAUUAACAUUCAAGCGUUAGCAUACUUAUACCCCAGUUUCAUGUGGCAAUAACGCGUGGAGGAUGACGGUCACGAGCGCAUUGUCGCAAGCUCACCGGAGGGAGGCACACAUCUCAUCCAAUAGAAAAGCACGCUCCAAAAAAUCCCUAACCCUCCAUGGAGCCAUUGCUAGGGGGCGACGAGAUCAACGCCAC
Molecule: non-coding RNA, 2110 nt
Organism: Triticum urartu
Lineage: Eukaryota; Viridiplantae; Streptophyta; Magnoliopsida; Poales; Poaceae
Source: RefSeq, a predicted model, not a curated record